RNAcentral lists this ribosomal RNA (373 nucleotides) under uncultured organism. RNAcentral's name for it is "partial 16S ribosomal RNA". It matches the Rfam family "Bacterial small subunit ribosomal RNA", at positions 527 to 896 of the family's 1533-position model. The record is from RNAcentral.
GUAGGGGGCAAGCGUUGUCCGGAAUUAUUGGGCGUAAAGCGCGCGCAGGCGGUCUCUUAAGUCCGAUGUGAAAGCCCACGGCUCAACCGUGGAGGGUCAUUGGAAACUGGGGGUCUUGAGUGUAGGAGAGGAAAGUGGAAUUCCAUGUGUAGCGGUGAAGUGCGUAGAUAUGUGGAGGAACACCAGUGGCGAAGGCGACUUUCUGGCCUACAACUGACGCUGAGGUGCGAAAGCGUGGGGAGCAAACAGGGAUUAGAUACCCUGGUAGUCCACGCCGUAAACGAUGAGUGCUAGGUGUUAGGGGUUUCGAUGCCCCUUAGUGCCGAAGUUAACACAUUAAGCACUCCGCCUGGGGAGUACGACCGCAAGGUUG